RNAcentral lists this non-coding RNA (103 nucleotides) under Escherichia coli IAI1. Lineage: Bacteria; Pseudomonadati; Pseudomonadota; Gammaproteobacteria; Enterobacterales; Enterobacteriaceae. The record is from RNAcentral. RNAcentral also lists the same sequence under 1 other name.
AGGGGUACAGAGAGAGCCAUCUCGUCUGACGUGGUUAAAACUGACAUCCAUGUAAUUGCUGUGUGUAGCCUUUGCCCGCCUCAAGUGACGGGCUUUUUUAUGU